GACGUAGGAUGCAAGCGUUGUCCGGAAUUAUUGGGCGUAAAGAGUUCGUAGGCGGCAUAUCAAGUCUGGUGUUAAAUACCGGGGCUCAACUCCGGCAGGGCAUUGGAUACUGAUAAGCUAGAGUACAGAAGAGGCAAGGGGAAUUCCCAGUGUAGCGGUGAAAUGCGUAGAUAUUGGGAGGAACACCAGUGGCGUAAGCGCCUUGCUGGGCUGUUACUGACGCUGAGGAACGAAAGCCAGGGGAG
RNAcentral lists this ribosomal RNA (245 nucleotides) under uncultured bacterium. RNAcentral's name for it is "partial 16S ribosomal RNA". It matches the Rfam family "Bacterial small subunit ribosomal RNA", at positions 524 to 768 of the family's 1533-position model. The record is from RNAcentral.